This 161-nucleotide unclassified non-coding RNA is filed under the name uncultured Eucasphaeria. RNAcentral describes it as "sequence contains ITS1". The record is from RNAcentral. Lineage: Eukaryota; Fungi; Ascomycota; Sordariomycetes; Hypocreales.
UCGAGUUUACAACUCCCAAACCCCAUGUGAACCUUACCAUCACGUUGCUUCGGCGGUCACGCCCCGGCGCCCCCGUGCCCGGAACCAGGCGCCCGCCGGAGGACCCCAAACCAUUGUUGUAUCUAGUGGCAUUGUCUGAGUGGCGUAAAGCAAAUCAAUCA